GGGAAAUAACUCUCACAUGGAGUCUUUGUAUCGCUUCUGUCAAAAUUUAACAAAAACAUCCUGAGGAUAUAACGAGCAAUUUAAUGAAAUUAUUUUGUUGCUGUCUUUUAUGGUUACGGAGGAGAUGCACUCAAAAGGUUAGUAGUGUUGAACGUGAUAACUUCUACAAAGAAAAAGUACUCGGUUCAGCAGGGUCAUUUUCAAAGCCAAUAAAUAUGCAGUGCCAGAACAAAUACCAAACAUUUAAGCGACAUCUUACAAAACAAAAUAUAUAUGCAAGAAAGGAAGAAAAAAAUCAAUCAAACUAAAAU
This 311-nucleotide long non-coding RNA is filed under the name Mytilus galloprovincialis (Mediterranean mussel). Lineage: Eukaryota; Metazoa; Mollusca; Bivalvia; Mytilida; Mytilidae. The record is from RNAcentral.